This 253-nucleotide ribosomal RNA is filed under the name uncultured bacterium. RNAcentral describes it as "partial 16S ribosomal RNA". It matches the Rfam family "Bacterial small subunit ribosomal RNA", at positions 524 to 776 of the family's 1533-position model. The record is from RNAcentral.
UACAGAGGUCUCAAGCGUUGUUCGGAUUCAUUGGGCGUAAAGCGCGUGUAGGCGGCCCGGUAAGUCCGCUGUGAAAGUCGGGGGCUCAACCCUCGGAUGCCGGUGGAUACUGUCGGGCUCGAGUACGGAAGAGGCGAGUGGAAUUCCUGGUGUAGCGGUGAAAUGCGCAGAUAUCAGGAGGAACACCGGUGGCGAAGGCGGAUCUCUGGGCCAUUACUGACGCUGAGGAGCGAAAGCGUGGGGAGCGAACAGG